UUUCCGUAGGUGAACCUGCGGAAGGAUCAUUAUUGGAUUUUGAAACUUCAGGCUGCUGCCGGCUCUCCUCGGAGGGCAUGUGCACGCUUGUUGUCCAUUAUUUCUCCCACUGUGCACAAAUUGUAGACCUUUCAGUAGGCCUAUGUUGUUUUUCACAAUCUCUGAAUGUAAUAGAAUGGUUUUGAAUCUUGGGAAAUACAAUACAACUUUCAGCAACGGAUCUCUUGGCUCUC
RNAcentral lists this unclassified non-coding RNA (233 nucleotides) under plant metagenome. Its description in RNAcentral is "partial contains small subunit ribosomal RNA, internal transcribed spacer 1, and 5.8S ribosomal RNA". The record is from RNAcentral.